RNAcentral lists this ribosomal RNA (497 nucleotides) under uncultured bacterium. RNAcentral describes it as "partial 16S ribosomal RNA". It matches the Rfam family "Bacterial small subunit ribosomal RNA", at positions 28 to 507 of the family's 1533-position model. The record is from RNAcentral.
GACGAACGCUGGCGGCGUGCCUAAUACAUGCAAGUUGAGCGCUGAAGGUUGGUACUUGUACCAACUGGAUGAGCAGCGAACGGGUGAGUAACGCGUGGGGAAUCUGCCUUUGAGCGGGGGACAACAUUUGGAAACGAAUGCUAAUACCGCAUAAAAACUUUAAACACAAGUUUUAAGUUUGAAAGAUGCAAUUGCAUCACUCAAAGAUGAUCCCGCGUUGUAUUAGCUAGUUGGUGAGGUAAAGGCUCACCAAGGCGAUGAUACAUAGCCGACCUGAGAGGGUGAUCGGCCACAUUGGGACUGAGACACGGCCCAAACUCCUACGGGAGGCAGCAGUAGGGAAUCUUCGGCAAUGGACGGAAGUCUGACCGAGCAACGCCGCGUGAGUGAAGAAGGUUUCCGGAUCGUAAAACUCUGUUGGUAGAGAAGAACGUUGGUGAGAGUGGAAAGCUCAUCAAGUGACGGUAACUACCCAGAAAGGGACGGCUAACUACGUG